Small nuclear RNA from Octodon degus (degu), 105 nucleotides. The record is from Ensembl. Lineage: Eukaryota; Metazoa; Chordata; Mammalia; Rodentia; Octodontidae.
GCACUCACUUUGGCAGCGCAUAUGCUAAAAUUGGAAUGACACAGAGAAGUAGCAUGGCCCUUGCACAAUAGUGACCCCUACAUUCAUUAAGUACUCUAUAUUUUC